AGGGAAUCUUCCACAAUGGACGCAAGUCUGAUGGAGCAACGCCGCGUGAGUGAAGAAGGCUUUCGGGUCGUAAAACUCUGUUAUUGAAGAAGAACGUGCGUGACAGUAACUGGUCAUGCAGUGACGGUAUUCAAUCAGAAAGUCACGGCUAACUACGUGCCAGCAGCCGCGGUAAUACGUAGGUGGCAAGCGUUGUCCGGAUUUAUUGGGCGUAAAGCGAGUGCAGGCGGUCUUUUAAGUCUGAUGUGAAAGCCUUCGGCUUAACCGAAGAAGGGCAUCGGAAACUGGGAGACUUGAGUGCAGAAGAGGAGAGUGGAACUCCAUGUGUAGCGGUGAAAUGCGUAGAUGUAUGGAAGAACACCAGUGGCGAAGGCGGCUCUCUGGUCUGUAACUGACGCUGAGGCUCGAAAGCGUGGGUAGCAAACAGGAUUAGAUACCCUGGUAGUCCACGCCGUAACGAUGAAUACUAAGUGUUGGAGGGUUUCCGCCCUUCAGUGCUGCAGCUAACGCAUUAAGUAUUCCGCCUGGGGAGUACGACCGCAAGGUUGAAAC
This 552-nucleotide ribosomal RNA is filed under the name uncultured bacterium. RNAcentral's name for it is "partial 16S ribosomal RNA". It matches the Rfam family "Bacterial small subunit ribosomal RNA", at positions 356 to 900 of the family's 1533-position model. The record is from RNAcentral.